This is a non-coding RNA of Coturnix japonica (Japanese quail), 5617 nucleotides long. The record is from RefSeq and is a predicted model, not a curated record. NCBI's taxonomy places the organism in Eukaryota, Metazoa, Chordata, Aves, Galliformes, Phasianidae.
GGAGACAGUGGGGAUGGAGAGGAUGGAGGCGAUGUGCUGGGGAUGAUGGAAGGGACGCAGAAGGCAUGGUGCAGGGGACAUGAUGGUUGGUGGAGGUUGAUGGCCCUGUCUGUGGCAUGGAGGGUUGGAACUUGAUAAUCCUUAGGGUCCCUUUGAACCCAAGCCAUUCUAUGAUUUUAUGAUUCUAUGGUGGGGAUGGGAUGAUGGAGAGGAUGUGGUGGGGCUGCAGGAGGGGACGUGGUGGAGACAUAGCAGGGAUGGGGUGAUGCAGGGGAUGUGAUGGGGAUGCGGAUGCGGUGGGCAUGGUGCAGGGACACGGUGGGGCUGCACCUCCCACACCCCCAGCACAGCACAGCAGGUGCUGGGGACACACAGUGGCACCUCCCGUCCUCAUCCUCUCCGCUCCGUGGGGCUCCUCUGUGCCGCACACAGCGCUGGUACCCGGAGCAUUACUGUGGUGGCAUCUGGGAGAGCACCCACACAGCCAGCAGGAGAUGCGUGCCCACCCCCCGGGAUCUGCGGGCUCAGCUCCAUCCCCGCAAAGCCCCCGCGGUGGGGGCGGCUCCUUCCCCAUCCUCGCUAAGCCGUAGGAAGUUGGAUAUAUCGAAAAGGCCCCGCCGUGCUGGUGGCUCCUAAUUCCGGCUCUGAUCGGCACCGGCGCUGCGCUGCCCGGCUGCGUGCUGCUCUCACCGCCCCCCCGCAGCACUGACCGCAGAGAUUAGGGCUUUAUUAAGACGUAUGAAGCCGCAUUACGCUCAAUUGAGUGAGGAAACUCGUUUAAUUGGGCUGAACGCUCUUCGGGUCGGUGCCAAAACCAACGGGCAGCGCGUCGCUCUUGCUGAGAUUCGCUCCGGCCGCUGUGGGCGGCACCGGGACAGCCGUGAGCACGUGCACCCUGCACGGCGCUGCCACGUGCACGCGUGCACAGCCACGUGCACCACUUGCACACCCACCCGCAGCACCCGCUCCUGUGCUCCGUGCACGUUCCGAUGCGCGCCCAGCGCGUGUGCGCACACACACGGACGCGGCCCCACGCACGCUCACAGCCCCCUACGCACACGCGCUCCCACACCCGUGCCCGCAGCAGCCGCUGGGUGGCAGCAAGGCCCCGGCGCUGGCACUGCUGGCACCGCGCUACGAGCAGAGGGUUGGUGCGCGCAGGGGUCGUGCGUGGCACCAAAACGCCCCCCAGGAACGCAGGGAGCAGCGGGGCACGCGGAGCUGCUGGGCACAACGCUGGGAUGGGGUGGAAGAAGGGAAGGCGUCACAAAAGGAUGAGACAGAAGUCGGGGUUGGUUGUAGGUCUGAUGUGAUGACGAUGGACUCGCUGCUGUGUCGUGCAGAUGGAAUGAUGCCCUUUGGGUCUCAGCGCCCGGCUGCAGAGCUGGUGCCACAUGGGGACGUGGGGACGGCUCCCUGCUUCCCAAGCCCUCCAGCUUGGUUCCAGCACAGCUUUUAAUUAAAUCUCCAUGAAACACCCAUUUGAGAUGCUUAAUUUCAAGUGAGAACUAAUUAAUUUUAUGGGCCUUGGCUGCGUCUGCCUUGUUUCUAAACUGGUGCCCAGGAUGGGGCUGUCAGAGCGUGGUGCUGACACUCAGGAGCUGCUGGAUGCCUGUGUCUGGGGAUGCUGCAGGUCAGUGUGUGGGACUCCCCUGGACCUCCCCAGCAUUGCUCCCCACCUUGAGAUGCUCAGUUUGGGGUCAGAUAGUUUCAUUGUAAGGCUGGGAUCUCACACCGGUUGCACCCAUGCAGAAGCACUGGGUCCAUUCCACACUCAUGUCCCUACUCCUCAGGUGUUUGCCCCCACACGGACCUUGUUAGCUCAUUCUGGAGCAGAAUGGUGGCCACAUCUUUGCCUUUCAGUCAUAGCAUUUGGAGCUGGGGCAGCUCGGCUGUUCCUUUGGAACCCUGAUGGUGUUGCUCCCUGAAGGGACGCAGACAUGCACAGGGAUGGAGCCACCCCAUGGCUGCUCUUGGUGGGAUAGGAUCCCAAUGGGGGGCACUGCUUUGGUUAGAGCAGCCCCAGGUUCCCUCCUCAUUGCCCAGCAGACCUACAGGCUCCUGCUGCGCUGCUGCCCGUAAAGGGCUCGGUAUUAAACCCUGAUUGAAAACAUGAAUCACCCCUCUAAUUAAACAGAGCUGCUCUGUGCCAGGAAAUCUCUCCCUGUCAGGAUAUUUGUUUUCAAAGGGGAAUAAAUCUCGGGCAGAGCUGAAGAUUGGCUCCCAGACCCUUUAUCGUGGAGCGGCGGUGAUUAAUCCUGUGCACCCUGGCACCAGGGAUGGAAUAAAAUUAAGAAUUAAUACGUAUUUACAAGCUGCAGAAAGGCUGGAAGUGCCCAAACGCCCCCAAGAGCAGUGCUAUCAUGCUGUAACCCAGCUCGCUUCGGCUUGCACCCCAUAGCUGUUAUAGGAUCAGCCCUCCCUGGAUGCUCAGUACCCACAGGGGCACCCACACCCUCUGCAUCCCACAGCAAGCUCUGCUGGCUUUGCUGGAAGGGGGGGGGGAAGUGAGGAAUACUGCAGCGUUCCGAUUAAUUGCAAGUGCGAGGGCUGCGUGCAUGAAUCUUUAAUUAGUCACGUCCCUCAUGAAUAUGCACGGUAUGCAAAUGGCAGAGGGAAGAAGCCGGGAGUGGAGCGGGGGUGUGAAGGCAGAGCUGGAGCCGGCAGUCCCUGUAUGGGGGACCUAUGGGAGCGAGGCUGAAGGAGGCAAUGAGCCUCAGCUCGUCCCACCGAUCCCGGCACUGCUCAGGUUGGAUGGCCUGGCUCUCUCGGAUGCCACUCCUCUCAUUAUUUUUGACAGUCCAUCUCAUUUGUACGCAGUUUCCCAGCGCCGAAUGUCUGCACACCGGGUUCCUUUGCUUUGCGCUCUGCUGUGCGAGCAGUAAUUGCACUGCAGCCCCUAUUGAAGGACCUCCAAACAAGCCCAGAGCGACAGCUUUCCCUGGGGGUUUUGGACAAGUUUCUCCAGGCAUCAUCAUUUGUGUCUGAGGACGUUAUCUCUGCAUCUCCCUCCACCUGUCGGUGCUGACAGGGCACCCUCAGAUCCGGGAGCGGGAGCUGCAGCCUGCUGCUGUCAUUUCCCACCUGUCAUUUGCUGCUCCUCUCAUCCCAGCUAACUACUCCCCACCAUCACGGUGGCUGGGGGCCCCUGUAGGCAGGCAGACCUGCCUUGCUUUGCCCUGCUUAUGUGUUCUAUGGACAGAAGGUGUUAUUUGGUGCCUUGGUGCACAGCACAGCUCCAAAUCCCAUUGCAGCUUGAAGCAGAGAGGAGCUGUGAAAUGCUGUUCUUGCACCUCCUGGAGCAUAGCCCUCCUGCAAGACCAGAGUGAGCAGGGCUUGCUGGCACAUGGGUUCCAUCCUGGAACCACGUAUGGGGCAUGAGGACGGCCCAAUCACCAAGGCAAAGCACACCUGGAGCCCCUGUGCUCCCAGUUAGCUGCUACAGCUGACGUCUGAGAGGUGACUUUGAUCAACAACACCUGCCCGGUGGGUAACCAGGGCAGCCCGAUACAGAGCACAAGUGAGCAGUGUGAGAUGGGAGUUAGUGCUGUCCACCCCUGGGAGCAGAUGCAUCGGUUCUGAGGCCACAGCUCAGCAGGCACAACUUGCUGAGCUCUCAGGAGGGCUCAAUGCAUUUCCAACCUGCUAACGAGGACUUUUUCCCCUGCUGCAAUUAAAAACCCCAUCCUUUUGCAAGCAGCAGCAGAGAAGCAUCACAGCCAUGGGCUGCCUGAGAUGUUCCCUGAGCUCAGACCUCACUCUGCACCCCACGAAAGCAGUGCAGUGCAGAGCCCUUAUCCCAGAGCACCGUGGGGAUUCAUUUCAGGGAUUGAUGCAGCGUGACACAGAGCAACCUUUCCUUUCAUGCUUUAUUUUGCAGAGCAAAAUGCACUGGCAGCGCCAGGAAGGUGUUUCACUGCACCCUGUGACUGCAAGCUUUAGAGCCCCAAAUCGGGGUAUAAGUGUUUAAUUCAAUGAGAUGCUCUAAACCUCCCAUUAUCCCCAUCAGAUGUUAACAGACCCUGGGAUGCACAGCCUGCUUGAUGUGCAGCUCCUGCAGCACCGAGCUGCUGUCAUUUAUGCAUUUCUCAGCUGUUUCCAAACAGAGCGGAUUCUUAUUACCUUUUGGCCACCUGCCCAGAAUUGGUUACAAUUUGGAGAGGGGGGGAGAAUGAAAAGACAGAAAUUCCUCUUUCUGUUCUUCUCCCCUUUGCCACAAAGGGACGGUGCGGAAAAUGAAUGAAGUGCCACCAGCAAAGCAGACGGGGGUGAGCUGCUGGGGAGGCCCUAUGGGACAGCGCCAUCGGUCCCCCCCGAAGGCGGUGGUGCCGCGUGUCCUAUCUGUUAUUUAGCAGCCCUUCCAUGGGGCUGGAGGCAGGCAGGAAACAUGGCAGGGGAUGCGGAGAAGGACAAACCCUAGAGGAGGCCGAGAGGUGCGCAGGACCUCGGAGAAGUCUCCCAGUUCUCUGCGCGGAGGAACGCGGCUCCGGGUGCGCGGAGCGGAAAGCUUCAGGGUCAUGCUGCUCCUCCUAAGCGCAACGCUUUGCUCGCGGAGACUGAAGACACCGGCGUCCUCAUCGCCCAACAUCGGCAUUUCAGGCUUUUCUCUUUUUUUUUUUUUUGCAUUCUUUGUUGUUUCUGGGUGAUGCUUUGAGUCCAUGCUGCUCCAUCUCCAGGCCGAGCGAUGUCACGCAAGACGUUCAAAGCACAGAGCAGAGCUGCAGGGGAACAAUCGAGGCUGGAGGGAGAAGAUGCAGAAGUUGAAGGAUGAUUUCCUACGCGAGCUCUUUGCUUUCUUUUUUUUUGUUUUCAGCCUCCCCGAGGCUUCUCAGCUCACAAAUCUGUGUGCUCUGCUGGCAGCUGCGCUGACCGACGCUGUCACAUCGAUGCUGCGCAUCGCACCGCGGUCUGCUGACAGCAGCUGUCCCGUUCCAGCCUACUUUGGGGACAUCUCCUGCACAGCAGUUGAGUGUGCCGGAUGGGAACAUCGAGCACUGCUGGGAGCAGACGGGGUUUGUCCUCAGGUCUGGGCUAGGCGCAGUGCGGUGGAGUGAAAUGCUUUGACAAAGCUCAGUGAGGAGCACGGGAUGCGUUAAGCAGAAGGAACAGCAGGGAGCACAGCUCUGCUGACACUCUGCCUUUCUCCCCACCUGGAGCUCUCAGGUCUCCCCACACUGAUACUGUGCAGCUUUCCAGCCCCUGUGCCCCACUGUGCCACUAUAUGGGGCCGUUCCUGUAUGCCCCAGCAGCCCCGUGCCUUGAGCAGAGCCUUUCUGUGGGCACCCUUCAUCAAACAGAAGAGGUUUCAAAGCACUUCUCCUCUGUCCAAGGAUGAAAGAGCCUCACUCCCUGUGCUCUCCCCAGCAAUUAAAUGCCAAACCCACUCAUACUUUAGCGAGUUCUCCUCAUUAAAGUGCACAGGGUCCAGUGCUGGGGGCUGGCUAGCAAUGAGAGCAACCCAACACUACCCACAUCACUCACUGAAGGCUCUUGGAAGGGACUUGUUGCCAUUUAUUCUGCCCAUUGCUCCCCAUGGAGACAGAGCAUGGAGCCAUGCCUAAGAAGGUACCAUAGGAAAUUGGCCUAUGGAGCAGGAAGCAGCCAUGGCACCAUCAUA